This 32-nucleotide transfer RNA is filed under the name Actinobacillus minor 202. Its description in RNAcentral is "partial tRNA-Thr". Lineage: Bacteria; Pseudomonadati; Pseudomonadota; Gammaproteobacteria; Pasteurellales; Pasteurellaceae. The record is from RNAcentral.
GGUCACCAGUUCGAUUCCGGUAGUCGGCACCA